AUGAUGGCAUUUUCUGAAAUUAUGCAUGCACUGGAAAAUGAUAGACCAACAAAACAAAACAAAAACAUACUUGGGCCAGAAGCAACGCAGUGCAUCGGCCCAGAAUGGAAUCGGGCCCAAGCGGCUGAAUGUGUGUGCAGGCAAAAGCAAUAUAAACUGAGGGAAAAAGAGGGGAGUGCUGUGCUUGGUUUCGAACCCAGGACCUCCUGGAGGUGCACAGGAAUUGCUAACCAGUUCAACUACAAUGGAUACGUGAUAUUAGAUGGGUUUCGUAAUAGAAGAACCAUUUUCCCGAACUGCUCUGAAUCGAACACAGUGAACACGCAGAUAUAG
RNAcentral lists this ribosomal RNA (333 nucleotides) under Triticum aestivum (bread wheat). Its description in RNAcentral is "partial small subunit ribosomal RNA". The record is from RNAcentral. Lineage: Eukaryota; Viridiplantae; Streptophyta; Magnoliopsida; Poales; Poaceae.